Molecule: ribosomal RNA, 253 nt
Filed under: uncultured bacterium
Lineage: Bacteria
Description: partial 16S ribosomal RNA
Rfam family: Bacterial small subunit ribosomal RNA
Source: RNAcentral
UACGGAGGUGGCAAGCGUUGUUCGGAAUCACUGGGCGUAAAGGGCGUGUAGGCGGUCAAGUAAGUGGAAUGUGAAAGCCCCCGGCUUACCCGGGGAUCUGCAUCCCAAACUGCUUGGCUUGAGUACGGGAGAGGAUAGGGGAAUUCCUGGUGUAGCGGUGAAAUGCGUAGAUAUCAGGAGGAACACCGGUGGCGAAGGCGCCUAUCUGGCCCGAUACUGACGCUGAGGCGCGAAAGCUAGGGGAGCAAACGGG